Molecule: ribosomal RNA, 301 nt
Filed under: uncultured bacterium
Lineage: Bacteria
Description: partial 16S ribosomal RNA
Rfam family: Bacterial small subunit ribosomal RNA
Source: RNAcentral
CAGUAGCCGCGGUAAUACGAAGGGGGCUAGCGUUGUUCGGAAUUACUGGGCGUAAAGCGCACGUAGGCGGAUAUUUAAGUCAGGGGUGAAAUCCCGCAGCUCAACUGCGGAACUGCCUUUGAUACUGGGUAUCUUGAGUAUGGAAGAGGUUAGUGGAAUUGCGAGUGUAGAGGUGAAAUUCGUAGAUAUUCGCAGGAACACCAGUGGCGAAGGCGGCUAACUGGUCCAUAACUGACGCUGAGGUGCGAAAGCGUGGGGAGCAAACAGGAUUAGAUACCCCUGUAGUCCCUGUCUCUUAUAC